This 355-nucleotide long non-coding RNA is filed under the name Ursus maritimus (polar bear). RNAcentral describes it as "lncRNA (ENSUMAG00000010888.1)". Lineage: Eukaryota; Metazoa; Chordata; Mammalia; Carnivora; Ursidae. The record is from RNAcentral.
GUUUUGUGGGUUACGUUCAGUAAAAUGUCAUUCACUGUCUAUCAAAGGGCACCAUCCAUAAAUGCAGGAAUAUUUACAGUGAGUCUCUCGAAGACUACGGAUACCUUCCAGCUAUGACUCCCGAAGGCAACACAUACUUCUGGGAAAAUAAAUAUGUGCAAGUUGUAAUUAUUUCUCAAUGGGGACUAAACUGGGAUUAAAACUUCACUUAGGCAACAUAGCAAGUAGAAAAUGCGUCUAAGGAAAGAUCUUGGGAAAGCUGAAGAAUAUUGCUUCUUGAUCCAACUGAAAGGCUUGGAAUGUGUUUCUUGGUGCAGUUCGUCUUGACGUCCACAAGAACCUCCACCAUACGUGU